GUGUUUUUGGUUGAUAUUUUUGUGUUGCUUGAUGUGCCAUAUCAUACAUAAAGGUCUUGUCCUAAAUAAAUAGUUGAUUGCUAUCAAUUUUUGCAGUAUAAGCUCAAAAUAUGUAUGUUUUGUAAAGAAGUUACUAGCAGUCUUCAGUAUGCAAGAAUUUCUCCAAUGACAUACCAACUGUAAAGUAGGAGCACAUGCCCUUCCUGGCUGUAUCACUCCUCAUUCAUGCUAGACUAGUGUAUACUUUUACACUAGUUUUAGACUAGUGUAUACUUCUAC
Molecule: long non-coding RNA, 279 nt
Filed under: Panax ginseng (ginseng)
Lineage: Eukaryota; Viridiplantae; Streptophyta; Magnoliopsida; Apiales; Araliaceae
Description: long non-coding RNA (PGIN_LNC014094)
Source: RNAcentral